GUACAUAUGUAUGUACAUACAAGUACGAGUACCUUGAUCUUAGGUGGCUUUCUUGUGCCUGAUCCUGCGCAUGGGUGGCGCCAAUGUCAGCGUUGUCAGGUUGGGUAUUCACUGUCAAUGCCAAUGUCAAUAGAAGGGCUAAUUUCGGCGACAGGCUCAAGGUCGGAGUAACUGUUUCACGGACAUUGAAGGGAACAGAGAGUGUAAAAAGUAGACGGAGCCGAUGAUACAUAUGCAUAUACUUCACUUUGAGUUAUCGCCAUUUACUUUUUCGCUCUCCACUAUGCCAAUCAUCAUUCAUCGUUUUACCAGAUCUCCUCCACCAUCUACAUCUCGCCCUUUCCUCACCACCAUCUAUUGAUUUCUUCUCUGCUGAUAUGACUGCGACGGCGACGCCGACUAAGCAAAGAAAGCUCGCUUAAAGAGGAGAGAGGAGAACAGCUAACUUUGAGGGCAUCAAUCAGUGCAAGGUGACGAUACAACAAAGUGAGGAAUUGCUGCUCUACUCCACGCACCUUUUUCUCUGUGAGAGACACAACCACAACAUUUGAGAGCAAUCUCUUCACGCCUCACCUAGUGCGGCAUCAGCUACGACGACUUGAUGGCAAUGAAAAGUAGUGUUGAUAACGGGGAUCACUGGAGGGUCACGUCACUCACGAGGAUAUUGCAAUAAAAUAAGGCACAUAAAUAUUAGAAUUUAUCUGAUAAAAAUCUCAAUAGAAUAUCUCAUAAAAUAUCUUCAUAAUUAGGUUCUGUUCCAAGCAAAGACUGGACAAUUGAUUUCGAAAUAUCUGCUGAAAAUCAUAAUACCCUUCGGCAAAGAGUAUAAUUAUGUGCAAAAGUAUCCCAUCAAAUCAGAGCGAGCAAAUACCUAAACGAGGUGCUAAAAGAUCCCAUUUGUAGUUGGUCAUCGAGGCCUUAAAUUGAAAAUACAAGCUACGGAAAGUGCGAAAUAUCAAUCCAGAACCAGAUCGGGCAAAGAGAGAUAGCGACAGAUAGAUGAAAUGAGAGGACUGAAACACACGCACACACACAGUACAUAACCGUACUCGGUAGCAGCGUAUUUAAAUUGGGCAAACUGAUUCAUUGGGCGGCGGCGGCAUUACCCAAAAAUGUUGAUAAAUAUCGCAAGUUAAAUUAAUUACUAGACAAGUACAUAUGCUCAUUGGCUUUGAUGUAUCGACGUAUCACAAGUGUCAGCCGCCAGCAAAUCCAAGUGUAUUUAAAUAAAUUCAAAUGAAUUGUAAUUGAUGGGAUACCAGCAGAAGAUACCAGGUAACAGGCCGGGCCUCUCCCUUUGGCAUUUAUUGGAUGUCACCCACCGAUCGGUCACAUGAAUCGCUGCAACUAGACCUCGGAAGUGAUCGAUUUUUGAGCUAAUUUCUCAGCCCCUAAACUGUUGACAAAACCAACAAAUCAAUCAAAAGUGAAGAACAUGUGGAGGCCGACGAUGCCACAAUUUAUGCGCAUUACAAAUCCGAAUAUGCCAAUAAAUGUUAUGCUAUACUCGUA
This is a long non-coding RNA of Drosophila guanche, 1512 nucleotides long. RefSeq lists it as uncharacterized. The transcript is spliced from 3 exons. NCBI's taxonomy places the organism in Eukaryota, Metazoa, Arthropoda, Insecta, Diptera, Drosophilidae. The record is from RefSeq and is a predicted model, not a curated record.